CCAGCUCCAAUAGCGUAUAUUAAAGUUGUUGCAGUUAAAAAGCUCGUAGUUGGAUUUCUGUUUCGAGACGUCGGUCCGGUUUCUAUGAGACUGUGUACUAUGAUGGCUUGAGACUUUUUUGUGAGGAUGUUUUUCUGCUAUUAAGUUAGUGGUUAAAUAGACUUGCAUCUUUUACUGUGAAAAAAUUAGAGUGUUUAAAGCAGGCGUUUGCUCAUUUGAAUACAUUAGCAUGGAAUAAUAAGAUACGACUCUGGUGGUCUAUUUUGUUGGUUUGCACACCAGAAUAAUGAUUAAUAGGGACAGUUGGGGGUAUUCAUAUUUCAGCGUCAGAGGUGAAAUUCUUGGAUCGCUGAAAGAUGAGCUUAGGCGAAAGCAUUUACCAAGGAUGUUUUCA
RNAcentral lists this ribosomal RNA (394 nucleotides) under uncultured Oomycota. RNAcentral describes it as "SSU rRNA". It matches the Rfam family "Eukaryotic small subunit ribosomal RNA", at positions 585 to 972 of the family's 1831-position model. The record is from RNAcentral. Lineage: Eukaryota; Oomycota.